This 72-nucleotide transfer RNA is filed under the name Camelus bactrianus (Bactrian camel). It matches the Rfam family "tRNA". From Rfam's summary of the family: Transfer RNA (tRNA) molecules are approximately 80 nucleotides in length. Their secondary structure includes four short double-helical elements and three loops (D, anti-codon, and T loops). The record is from Rfam by way of RNAcentral. Lineage: Eukaryota; Metazoa; Chordata; Mammalia; Artiodactyla; Camelidae. RNAcentral also lists the same sequence under 1 other name.
AAGGGUAUAGUUCAGUGGUAGAGCAUAUACUUAUCAUGUGCGAGGUCCUGGGUUCAAUCCCCAGUACCCCCA